UACGGAGAGUGCAAGCGUUGUUCGGAAUCAUUGGGCGUAAAGGGCGUCUAGGUGGCUUGCCAAGUCAGGUGUGAAAUCCCUCGGCUCAACCGAGGACGUGCACUUGAAACUGGUAGGCUUGAGUCUUGGAGGGGGCAGCGGAAUUCCCGGUGUAGAGGUGAAAUUCGUAGAUAUCGGGAGGAACACCAGUGGCGAAGGCGGCUGCCUGGCCAAAGACUGACACUGAAGCGCGAAAGCGUGGGGAGCAAACAGG
This 253-nucleotide ribosomal RNA is filed under the name uncultured bacterium. Its description in RNAcentral is "partial 16S ribosomal RNA". It matches the Rfam family "Bacterial small subunit ribosomal RNA", at positions 524 to 776 of the family's 1533-position model. The record is from RNAcentral.